This 1683-nucleotide long non-coding RNA is filed under the name Amborella trichopoda. Its description in RNAcentral is "long non-coding RNA (ATRI_LNC003200)". The record is from RNAcentral. Lineage: Eukaryota; Viridiplantae; Streptophyta; Magnoliopsida; Amborellales; Amborellaceae.
CCGCUUGAAAGAAAAACGAAAAGAGGGUCUACCAUGAAAUGAUAUAAAAAAUUAGAGUUCUAUAUGAAAUUUUCCCUAAAAUCAAAAAACCAUAAGCCAAGAAAGCAGGUAGUAGGCAGUGUGCCUAGGGGAGCUUAGGAAAAGACAACCCAUUAUAGUGGGUUUUGUGUAUAUUUAUGCAGAUGUACGGAAUGCCAUUACAUGUGAAAUAAAAAGCAACGGUCUUCCCCUUGACGACCAUGGGAAAUAAGUUCCAACAUCCAACUUGUCGAGACAUAUGAAUGAGAUAAACAAUGCACACUGUAGAAGACCACACAAAGCACAUAUAUCUAAUACUUAUAAAAAGAGGAAAAAGUUUGGCCAUAGGACUGUACAGAAGACCACACAAAGCACAUAUAGACUUCUAUGUAACCAGGAAGAGCUCACCAAAUUUCACACGGGAGGUUAUGCGGCAAAUAGAAAACCUUAGUUCAUGAAUUGCCCCAUAAAUGUGCCGAAGUAAAGAGUGCAGACAUAAUAGGGAGAACAAGAAUCUCGCAGUCCAAAAACUAAGUCUUAAUUUUCAAAAUAAAAUGAAAUAAAAAUAAAAAGAUAUUGCCCUAAAAUGUAACGAAACACUAAGAAAAUACAACAUAUGACAGGUUAUCAGGAGCCAUGAAAUUGAUGGUAAACCUGGCCGAAAAUCUACUUCCGUCGAUACUCACAAAAGAACAUCGAGAAAAAACCAGAUCACCCUCAUAAGUUGUCCAUUCCUUCCAUGAAAAAGAAAGAAUAACAUGAUUUUUCUUCCCCAUUUUAAUCCAGAAACAUAUAUUCCUUAUCAAAGAAGAAAACAAUCAACAAAUCAAGCAGGAAUAUAAAACGUUGCAUAUGAAACAAAACCGAAAUGCUUGUAACAGAAGCAUCAAGAAAGAUAAAGCAUGAAAGCAAGCAUAAAACCAAUCGUGAGUUCAGAAAGAAUAAAUAAAACCUAAAUUGUUAGAGAGAAGGAACAGAGCAAAGUACAAAUGAAAUAAAUAACAUGGUUCUAAAGAAAGAAAAAAGAAAAUAAAAUGAAUGUAGAGAGAGAAAAAAAUCCAAUUUCUGGAGAGCAGAAAAAAAACCGAAAUUGCUAGAGCAGGAUAUCCAUCAAGAAAAAGAAGUACGAGAGAGAAAAAAAAAACCAAAUGAAACUUAAAAUCAGAUAUAAAUAUUGGAUCUAGCAAGACUGUUACAAGUGAACUAAACUCCCGUUUGCAGUUCCCCAAAAUGAAAAACCCACAAUAACUUGUAACAUUCGAUCAAUAACAACCCCCCAAAAAAUUAAGGACUCUUCUGUAGAACAUUGAAGCAAAUACUUUUGAACAAUCACAGAUAAGCUUAAAAUACCUUCAUUGAUGACCCCUAAUAAACAAAAAAAAAGAAAAUCAAAGACCAAAGAUGCUCAAACCUGGUAAUGGCAGAAUAGAGGGCAGCGAUGGAAAGACGAUCGAUCUUCAGAAAACGUGCUAACAAUUGUGUUCAAUAUGAAGCACGAGAGAUGGUGGAUCAAUGGCGGUUUUUUUGCAGCUUCAAUCGUAUGGGAGAGAUCGGAGCUUGGUUUGGGUGUAACAAUGGCGGAGGAAAGUGGGGAAGAAAACCAGGUAGCUGUUGGGUAAAAGAGAAAGAGGCUACGAGCAACGCACAGCCGAAGAAACGCCUAAC